GAGGCUCAGGCGCGUCAGUGUGAAUGGUGGCGCCGUCGCGAGCGGACCCGGGGCCGAGAUGAGGCAGCGCGACCCGCACCAGAGCACAUGCGCUCACGGCGACUACACUCGGCCGCGUGAAAGUUUGAAAGUGAAACAGUGUGUGUCACGUCACGUUGGUGCAGAUGCGCGCCUCGUAAAAGUUGGCAGAGCUUAAAAAGAAAAAACAGAGAAAAGCGCGUGCAAACUGUUCACCUGGCGACAGUGAUGCGGGUGACAGAAGCAACUGAGUGGGCAGCUUUUACAUCACACGCUGCUGAAUUUAGCUCCAGUCAUCUCGCUGUGACAUCCGACAUCCCUGCUGCCUCCCGCUGAGCCCCGGUCCUCGUUAUUGGCCAGUUUUGAGCCUUCCUGAUGAAGAGGAGGAUGAAGACUGACGCUCCGAUGCAGCCGAGAGAAAAGUCAAAGGAAAAACCUCCUUAAAACGAGUGAGUCACCAAGUGAAUCCAGUGUUAAAGGGAUGGAGAACGCUGCACCGCAGGACUGUGAGGCUGGUUUCCACCACAGCGGCCCAUCCUGGCGGCGGCGGGGAAACCACCCGGGCCCCGCUCAUCUGCUGAACGCUUGCUGAGACAGUCUGGGAUCGUGACACGAUCAUCAUGGGACGAAGGCCGACGACCGCAGGCAGCGGCUGAAGAGGCGGCGCUUUUGUUUGGUUUCCAGCCAGCGCUGGGGAAUCGUUCGCUUUAAUGCUGAAAGGAGGAACGACUUCCGGAGGGUCGACGGGUCACUAAGGGUUUCUUCUAUUGACGGUGAAACACCUACUGGGAGUUAAUUGUCCAGGUGCUGAGGUUUUGCAGCUCGCCACGCUGCCCUUCCUGCUUGUGGGCUGUUUUGAACCCAAUCUCUCCACACCCAGUGAAGUCAUGCCGUCGAAAUCUGACUGGCGGCGACCACAGCUAAAAACAUCCGCGUGGAGGCUUCAUGUGGAGACGACCCGAGAAAAGCGGCUCGCGACGCGGCGCUUCCGCACGCGUCCCCGCGCGCACGCGUCCCCGCGCGCACGCUCCACGUACUGUACAGCCACAGAGCGGGUGCUCCGUGACGGGGCAUCGGCCCGAAUGGAUGAAUUUGUUCCUCCUCCGUUUGUUGUAAAUGAAGCAACUUUGCCAGAAUCACAAUUAAACGAAUGCUGUUAAACCUGGAUGUGAUGUUAUUGUAUGAUGGAGCGAUGCAGGUGAUGGUCAGAUUGUGACUCCAGUACUUUAUUUAAAUCUGUCAGCACUGCUCAUUAUUUCAUCAUUUUCUUUCUAUAAACUACAAUUAUUUUAACAAAUUUUCAAGCACUAGAGCAAAAAGCCAAACAUUUGUUUGUCUUGAUUAUGUCUGUAAAAACGAUACAAUGCAGGUGCUCAAUGAUUCUGGAGUUUUCCUAUUUUCUAAUACGUCUACUACUGUAGUAUUUCGCCCACAUUUACUAACUUAACUUCCAAAUGUGGAAUCUACAAUAUAAACAACAAAAUGUACAGUAAUGAUAGAAAACGGAAGACGAACGUGUGUCUGCGUGAACUACAGAAAGGAGCAAAGAGGGAACAGGAAAGAGCGUGUGAAGCGAACGGGGGGGGGUGUUUGUCCAGUGCUUCUCACUUUGACUGUGGACCGAGAGAAGUGAGUCCUGACUAAGAAAACAUGCCAAAAAAACGCAGAGGAAGUCGUGUGCGUUGCUGCUCGGGACCGCAGCGUUUGGAACACGCUGACGCCUGCACGUGUCUGAGCACCGCGGCGUAAACACGUCUUCAGCCGAGGGUUGGAGGUCGCGCGUCGUGACGCUUCCUAGCCACUCCCUAGUUUCACAUUAACGUCUGUCAAGCUCAAGGCUCAGCUUUGGAAGUUUGAUUAUUAGGCUCAUUAUUUAUUAAUGCUCCGUUUCUUUCCAAGCUCUUACAGCGUGUGCAGUAGAAGGCUGGUGCAGUUCUCGGCGCUCUUGCUUUUGAAAUGCAUCCUUAUCUUUUUAAGUGGAAGCCCAGAGGAAGGAGGAGAGCCCGUUUUCUGUGCAGAGGUGAAACGAGGUCAUCGCAUCCAGAGUUCAAGAGUCGAGUCGCACUGAAAACUGAGAAAAGGAAAAAAGACGAGGCUCGUUACAGUUGGUGCAUAUUAGUUAAAGUAGGUUUCACUUACUGUGAUCUGACUGUUGUGAGAGAGUACAUAUUUCACAUUUUACCACAUUCAGUGAUCUCAUAACCUACAACUAAACACAUGGAACUUUUAUUUUAAAUUAAAAAGCGGAUAUAAUGCAUUAGUGUCCGGCCUCCAGCAGUGGAAUGACCACGUUUUUUUCGCCUUUGCUUCACAGUAGAGUGGCGCAAUUUGACAUGCGGUCACAGAGUCUGUGACGAGACAACACUUCGAGGAAAUUAUGCAUUUUGGACUUUUUUGAAUAUAUUCUAUUUGGCCUAAAACAACACAGAUUUGAAGAAGUGCAUUUGAGUGAACAGAAGCGUUUGACAUUAGACACGGCCCCCUGCUGUGUGGCGCCUGUGCUGCACAGGUGAGCUCAUCGUACCGGUUCCCUUGCAGCCGUGACUCACCGUGGUUUGGCUGCAGACGUCACGCAGUGAAGCGCGUGUAAACAGAUCACGGCGUGCCUCACGUGUCCUCUGGCACCUGAACGUGUUCUCUGGGCUCGGUGUUUUGACUCGCGCCUGCCGUCGUCUCCUCUCGGCUGAACGUCCCUGAACGCGGAGCCGCCCCGAGCGCCAUGAGGUUCGCACGGCGCGGAUUCAGCGUCGCUCAGUGCCAGCGCUCGGUUUGUUUUGGUUCAAAGGUCGCGUGCUGUGAAUCAUGGGGCCUUUAAACUGGUGUGACGAGUCAGGAUUAGCAUCAAGCCGAGCGACUGUUGAACCAGGAAGCACAAAACGCUUUGACUCUAAGGAUUAGGGUCAUAAAUGUGAACGAGGACCCAAAGUAAGAUUUAUAAGAAGGAUAAACAAGUGUAAACGGACUAAUCCACAGGCAUCAAACAAUGAAACCAACCUGUCACUGUCCAGAGUUUUGCUUCUUAUAUGUUUAUUUACUGUCGUUUCCAGUAAAGAGCCUGAUUCAAGUGUAAACUGGACUCUGACCUGUUCCAGUGUAUCAGCGUUUGCUGACUAAUCGUUUCCUUUAUUCGCAGAGUCACUAUGUAACCGGGCCGAUCAGCUGCUUGUUGUUUUUAUUAUUAUUUCGUACACAAAACCAUCGCCCUGUCAAAUCAAUUACAAGUUGUUGUCCAUGUCACAACAGUGCUGUUUGUUGUUGUGAUCCAGCCAGUUUAGCUUUUUAGCGGAGCCGAGCCUUGUUUGUCACGUUAUAAUUAGCGGAGCAGACGGAUGUUCGUUACAUCACAGCCUGCUACAUUAAACGUGGUUAAACACCAGACACAGCUCGACUCUGGAUCAAGAGGACUCGCUAGAAACGUGUUGACGGUAGUCAUGAGCAAUUAUGUGAUUUCUCAUAUAUAAUAAAUCAUUUCAUUUUGUUUUGACUGUCUUUUUCAUCACAUUUACUUCGGGACACGAUAACUUUGAGUUUAUGGUUCACUGGACGAUACAAACUAAAGCAAGCACAGCAAUUAUAACGCCGCAGGGCUCAGUGCGCUCUGACUUAGAAUAUGCCCGGACAUGUCUGAGACACACACACACACACACACACACACACACACACACACACACACGCUGCGGUUACAUCCAUCUGCUCAGAUACAGUAGACUUCCCGUCCCUCACACUGACACUGUGGACUGUAAUAGUUGAACAGCCUUUUCUCCAACAGCUACUGUAAUGCACCAUAGCAGGAAAAAUUCUAAUCACAUAAAGAUUCUCUUCAUUCACUUCAAUUUAAACUUGAUUUCCUUACUCUCUGUUUAGAUAUUGUGAAUCAAUUAUCCAGGGUUUCUGCUAGAAUUAUUUUUUUAAUGAGACGAGUGGCUGUAGAUUGCGUUUCCUAUUGUGACUUCUCAAGGAAGUCUGCUGCUCAGUUACAGCUGCUCAGAUAAUAUGGAUGUUCAUGUUAAGGAGUCCUGUUUAUACUGUUAAUCACAGAUAAAUAAACAGAACCAAAACUGCACAUGACGUACGACGUAUGACUUGCAUGUUCUAAGGGUCUGGGUCUAAGUGAAUAGACAAGACACAGUCUGACGUUCUGGUUAACAACCAAAAUGAGAUGUGAAUCAAACAACUGUGAUCUGAUGUCAUUUCUCAUUUCUCUAGAGUUCUGCACUUACUGUGCAUCCAGCUUCUCAUUUUAUUUAAGGUAGUUGUUCACCAGUGGUUCUGAAUAUAAUGAAAGCAGUAAAUGUGAUAAAAAUAUAUUGUUGGAAUUUUCAUUAAUUAUUUCCCGAUUCGGACUUAGUUUACAGAACAGAGUGUGUGAUUUUACUAUGAACCAUAAAACUUAAUGUACAGUACCUGCUCAUUAUGAAAAGAAUAUCUGUCAUAAUAUAUUAUGCAAUUAUGAACACAGAAACACAUGCCACACAGAAACCAUUACACCGUGUUUGCUACGGAUCAUUGUUAUUAAGACACUUCUUUUUAAAACCCGUUUGUCAGGAUUAAUGGCUUAAGGUGAAAACGCAGCUUCAGCUACAGACGUAACACACUUUUAUUCCUUAAAACGACUUUCUUCCAUCUACGGUCACAGUUCACACACAUUAUAAUUAAAUAUACAAUAAGCUGCCAACAACACAUGUAACUGCACAGCGCUCAUGUAAAAAGGAAGUGCCUGGAAAUAGAGAACCGGAGUUAAAAGUGGAACAUAUUUGUGUUAGUAUUUACUUUCCUGCAGAACUGAAGCUGUGAGCAACCCUGGGAAGGCAAAAGGCACAGAAGUGCCUUGCUCAAAGACACGCAGGGGUUUUUACUGAAAGUUUGAAUGAAGCUUUGCAAACAAUACUUACGCUAAAAACAGACUCCAGCUUUUCUGUGUUAGAAUGAUUUGAGUUUGAAGGGUUUUUUAGAAAUGUGUUCAUUUGAGUAAACAAGUUAUUAAGUAAAAAAAAUCACUGAGCUGUUUUAGUCACUGAGGCUCAGAUCAAAACAUGUGUGCAACAAUGUUGUGAUGAUGUUUUAUAGCGGUUUUGGCACAAACCGACUUGUUUUGCGUCAUGGCAGGUUUAGUGAAUGAGCCUCAGAUGAAAACGUCUACAAACGACAACAGGCAGCUACAAAGAGAUGCAAAACCAGGAGAAAGGGAAACACAGCGACCAUGAAACGCAGCAGCGCGGCUACAAAGGAGCAGCAGUGAAUGAAAACACCCAGAGACUACGAGAGCAAACGGAUUCAAAAAACUAUAAAAAUAUAUGAUUGUGGUCGGUGUUGGUUCCCACUGAAGCAGGAUGGAGGCCGCACAAACCCUCCGUACACCCAGAACGCAGUAAAACUGAUGAUGAGGAGCUCGCUGCCUUUUACAAGGGUCUCCUGCGUCUUCUCACCUCACGUCUGAACACGUUCUACUCAGCUCGCGGUGGCGCAGGACACAAAGGGCGCGUUGAGGCGGAGGAGCAGCCGCCGGCGCAGCACGCGGGGAAAACGGUUCUGGACCGGAGUUCACCUCCACUUUCACCGGCGAACGCGGGCGUCGAGCGGGAGGCCGGACACAAAAGCACUUGUUUCGCUAAUUCGGUGGAAAGUGGGUCACAUCUCGCCCUGGCAUGUGUGAAACCACGUGCACAUGCAUGGUUGUGACAGCAUGUGCUAUUUUGAAAGUAGCUGAGUAGGUAACAUGUGCAACAGUAAAUGUUUUACACAAAGGUAAGAAUGACGCGCGAUCAUUUGCCAAAACAUUCAAUUAUCUGGAUUCAUAAAACGGUCCUUUGCCACCACUGUGAUGUAGUCAGUGCUGGUGUUUUACACUAAUGGGAGGAUAUGACUUCAACCUCCUCCAUGUGGGUUCAGAGCGGCCUUAGACUAAAAUGGAGAAGCUGUUUGUGGAGCGAAGGCGACUGCACCGUUGAGCUGCUGUAGAAAAGAGGAAACGGCGAACGUCUUGGACAACGGGCGCUGAUGUGGAAAUACAACUGACGCAUGAUAUCACCGACGGCCGUAUGUCGCUCUGCUCAGUGGUCAACGUUGUCAUUCAAAGCGUGUCUGUGGGUUCAAACACAACACGUUUACAACACUUAUUAAUACAUUUGUUUUAGGGAUGUUGCUCCAUCGCUGCCUGUGUGCUUUUGAUUAGUUUAGAGAUCUUUCUAAUGGUUUAUUUGCUUUAAUACUUUCUAAGACUAUUGCCCAACAAUAAACCAACAAAAAAGCAGAAGGUAAAACAAAUGUACUGAUGUACUAAUUAUUCUGAGAACUGAAUUAUAAUAUGAUCCUAAAAAUGAGCAGCAACGUGACACACAACAAACCGCCUCAUACAACUGAUGCUGCUGAGAAUCAAAGUUACAAAUGACCAAUAAUUACCUGGAUAAUUGCUACGUGUUUGCUCACGCAUCACCUCUCUGUUAGCUUCUGAGCAAUUUGCAUGUGUCAGGUCAGAACAGCGUGGAGCGGCGUGUGAUAGCUGUCUGGGAAAAGAGUGAAACGCUGGCCUCAGCCUGUAACUCAUCAGAUAUUACUGAAUUAGGUUGUUUGAAAGAUAAAGAUUGUACGAAGGUUUGAGUUGUUAAAUAGAUCAUACGUUUGAUGCAUUCAAGUUCAAACACUUUAAAAGUUUAGGUUUGGAAAUCUGACACAAACACAUAAAAUGAUUAUUUGAAACAUCACAAGAGAUUUUUUUUAAUUUUAGGUCAAUUUCAUUGAACUCAGAUCAAAAGUGAUGCAACUAACUGGCACAAAUAUUAAAAAUCCAUUAUUGUAUAAAACCUGAAAAAUAAAGUGAAUCUGAGGAGACUCAAACAAGCUGUAACUCAUCACUCUCCAAAGUGUUGUUUAAGUGUUAUCUUCAUCUCUGUCUGUUAAACAUGAUCCACUUGUUUAAAUAAUGAAUGAAUCAUUGUAGGACGUUGUCUACCCACCAUGAAAAUAUGUCUACAAGCGCUCAGCUAUGUUUAUAUCCCUCUACAAAAAUAGCCCAGACAUCACCUGGUCAUAUUGACCAAUCAGCAUCAGCCUAGAAUAAAGGGGCGGGAACUGUGAACAGUGAGUCACCAGGCAACAAAGGUACAAAGUGAACCCCUGGUUUUAAGUUUUUCCAAGUUUCUGUCUCAUUUUGUUUAUGUUCAACUGUUAAAGCCAUAACUCAUGUUCAGAAGCGGAUAAAUCAGGUUUAUUAGGCCUAAUAAAACAUUCUCGCUGACCUCUGGGAAUAACCUGUUAUUAACCACAACACGUUUAUCCUCCACAGCGGGUUUCAAGUCGAUUCCAGCCUAACUGUUUGAGCGAUAACAGCAGCUAAGAGGAAAAAUGGUUUUAUCAGUUCCUACCCAACAGUCGCACACAAGACACACGCAGCUAUCAGAGCCGCGAUCGGGGCUGUAGAAACUCCUGCAUUGUGUUCUGAUAAGAGUGACGUGGGGCUUCUGUGAGUCUUAUCUGGACACGAGUGCAAAUGAGGCCCAUAAAUACUGUAUAGGAGAUAUCCGUAUUGGACACAACCAGAUCAGAUGUACAAUAUAUGCUGGACAGUGUUAUAUGCAUGACUGUGUGUUGCACUGAUAUAAAUCCAUCUGUAAUUUAUAAGUAUAUGAGUGUACAGUAGUUUUCUACAUGUGAUUAAUAAAGAUUAAAGCACUCGUUUCAUGGA
Betta splendens (Siamese fighting fish) is the source of this 7699-nucleotide long non-coding RNA. RefSeq lists it as uncharacterized. The record is from RefSeq and is a predicted model, not a curated record. The transcript is spliced from 7 exons. Lineage: Eukaryota; Metazoa; Chordata; Actinopteri; Anabantiformes; Osphronemidae.